Molecule: long non-coding RNA, 1180 nt
Organism: Strigops habroptila (Kakapo)
Lineage: Eukaryota; Metazoa; Chordata; Aves; Psittaciformes; Psittacidae
Exons: 3
Source: RefSeq, a predicted model, not a curated record
UCCAUCUUAAAAAGAAUCUAAACAAUGUAGGAGGGCUGGAUGUUUUGGGGACUUCUUAUUUCAAGCUUUUAUAUCCAUAGUAAGAAAUAUAUUACGAGUGCGUUAUCCCAGCCUGAAAAGUUUGACCAUAGAACACAAAGUGCAUAGCUCUGUCUUCUGCUGGCAGAAGUGUUUGCUGCCAGUCCUCUGUACUGCGAGCCAAGGUUUGACUCGGAAGAAGAGCUGAACUCCCUCGCCUCAGAGGGGUGGUGAGGGAAGAAGCCAGGGAGCUGCAGACUCUUCCUGGAGCGGGCAGUGCUGCUGCCAAAGAGGGAAUGGCCCUGGUUGCCAGCAGCUAGCCUGGUUCAGCAGCUCCCUAAAGACAUCGGGAGGAGAGACUCUGAGCUGUGUGCUUGGCAUGCACUGAAGUUGUUCUGCUGUCAUAGCCCCACACAGGGAAAAGGCGGAAGGUAAAUAGCUGAAGUUUCCUGUGGUUGUUAGCAUAAACAUAUGCACACGGAUGAGCUUCAGGUUUUUAAACUUAUAUCCCUGUUUCCCUCUUUCAAAUGAUCUGUGUAAUACUGAAAAUGAGGUAAUGGUAAAUAAAGUGUUCAGCCUACUUUGCAACUGUCAGUAAACAAAUAUCUCCGUUAUGUGUUGUGCGCACACACUUCGUUGUCAGAUGUUUCAUGCAGUCCUGCUGCUUGAUGCUCCUUUUGUAUGUCUCUUCCUUUUGGGACUAGCAUAUGCAUUUUCUCUCCUAAUUACAAUCUUGCACUGCUUAAACUAGUUACUAAUGAUGAGAGUGGCCAUUACUUCAUUAACGUGUAAGAAGAAAGUAAGUUCAACUCCCUUGACUUCUGCUGGUCACAAGUACUUUGAAGGUAGGUGACUUUAUUGCCACACUUAAAAUUUGAAUAUACUAUCUUUUUAUGCUGGAAACAUCAAACUUCCUCAUUAGUGGACUUACUGUGAGAACAUCCUCUAGAUCUGGCUCUUUGACUUAAAACAGAAACUGAAAAUUUUAUCAGACUUAUUUAUGUUAUACUGAAUUCCAUCAGAUUUUCUUGGUGUCCUUAUGUGUUUCAAUUUUCAUGAAAGUGCUUUGUUUAAAAUUUAGUUUUAAGAGGUGGUUUCUUGAUGUUGGUUCAGUAUUGCAGCUUAUUCUAUUUGUAGCAUGUCUCUGAUACACACACAGAUC